UGGGGAAUUUUGGACAAUGGGCGCAAGCCUGAUCCAGCCAUGCCGCGUGAGUGAAGAAGGCCUUCGGGUUGUAAAGCUCUUUCGGUGGGGACGAAAAGGUUCGUGCUAAUACCACGGACUAAUGACGGUACCCGAAGAAGAAGCACCGGCUAACUACGUGCCAGCAGCCGCGGUAAUACGUAGGGUGCAGGCGUUAAUCGGAAUUACUGGGCGUAAAGCGUGCGCAGGCGGUUUGUUAAGACAGAUGUGAAAUCCCCGGGCUUAACUUGGGAAUUGCGCUUGAAACUAGAUCGCUAGAGUACGGCAGAGGGGGGUAGAAUUCCACGUGUAGCAGUGAAAUGCGUAGAGAUGUGGAGGAACACCGAUGGCGAAGGCAGCCCCCUGGGCCUGUACUGACGCUCAUGCAUGAAAGCGUGGGGAGCAAACAGGAUUAGAUACCCCCGUAGUCCCUGAGCGGGCUGGCAAGGCGCAU
Molecule: ribosomal RNA, 472 nt
Filed under: uncultured bacterium
Lineage: Bacteria
Description: bacterial SSU rRNA
Rfam family: Bacterial small subunit ribosomal RNA
Source: RNAcentral